AUAAUACUGCGUACAGUGUAGUGAUUGUAAUAAUACUGCGUACAGUGUAGUGAUGUGUAAUAAUACUGCGUACAGUGUAGCGAUGUGUAAUAAUACUGCGUACAGUGUAGUGAUGUGUAAUAAUACUGCGUACAGUGUGGUACUGUGUAAUAAUACUGCGUACAGUGUAGUACUGUGUAAUAAUACUGCGUACAGUGUAGUGAUGUGUAAUAAUACUGCGUACAGUGUAGUGAUGUGUAAUAAUACUGCGUACAGUGUGGUACUGUGUAAUAAUACUGCGUACAGUGUAGUGAUGUGUAAUAAUACUGCGUACAGUGUAGUACUGUGUAAUAAUACUGCGUACAGUGUGGUACUGUGUAAUAAUACUGCGUACAGUGUAGUGAUGUGUAAUAAUACUGCGUACAGUGUAGUACUGUGUAAUAAUACUGCGUACAGUGUAGUACUGUGUAAUAAUACUGCGUACAGUGUAGUGAUGUGUAAUAAUACUGCGUACAGUGUGGUACUGUGUAAUAAUACUGCGUACAGUGUAGUGAUGUGUAAUAAUACUGCGUACAGUGUGGUACUGUGUAAUAAUACUGCGUACAGUGUAGUG
Molecule: long non-coding RNA, 592 nt
Organism: Ictalurus punctatus (channel catfish)
Lineage: Eukaryota; Metazoa; Chordata; Actinopteri; Siluriformes; Ictaluridae
Source: Ensembl